RNAcentral lists this small RNA (396 nucleotides) under Pan troglodytes (chimpanzee). RNAcentral describes it as "processed transcript". The record is from RNAcentral. Lineage: Eukaryota; Metazoa; Chordata; Mammalia; Primates; Hominidae.
GUGGCUAUUAUCAUGGAAAACUAAUUUUUCCCAGAGAAUUUCCUUUCAAACCUCCCAGUAUCUAUAUGAUCACUCCCAACGGGAGGUUUAAGUGCAACACCAGGUAAGGUGCCUGGAGGGGCCGCGGAGGUUUUCUGGCUGCGGUGGGGAGUGUGCACUGACGGGGCCCCCGUUUCGCAGGCUGUGUCUUUCUAUCACGGAUUUCCACCCGGACACGUGGAACCCGGCCUGGUCUGUCUCCACCAUCCUGACUGGGCUCCUGAGCUUCAUGGUGGAGAAGGGCCCCACCCUGGGCAGUAUAGAGACGUCGGACUUCACGAAAAGACAACUGGCAGUGCAGAGUUUAGCAUUUAAUUUGAAAGAUAAAGUCUUUUGUGAAUUAUUUCCUGAAGUCGU